AAUCAACGCUGGCGGCGUGCCUAACACAUGCAAGUCGAACGCGAAAGGGCUUCGGCCCUGAGUAGAGUGGCGUCCGGGUGAGUAACGCGUGGGUAAUCUACCCUCGGGUGGGAAUAACCAAUCGAAAGAUUGGCUAAUACCGCAUAAUGCAGCGGCUCGACAUCGAGACAGUUGUUAAAGCCUCUUCGCAAGAAGGGGCGCCUGAGGAGGAGCCUGCGUCUGAUAGCUUGUUGGCGGGGUAACGGCCCACCAAGGCUACGAUCAGUAGCUGGUCUGAGAGGACGGCCAGCCACAAUGGCACUAG
Molecule: ribosomal RNA, 304 nt
Filed under: uncultured bacterium
Lineage: Bacteria
Description: bacterial SSU rRNA
Rfam family: Bacterial small subunit ribosomal RNA
Source: RNAcentral